Non-coding RNA from Stegodyphus mimosarum, 73 nucleotides. The record is from Rfam. Lineage: Eukaryota; Metazoa; Arthropoda; Arachnida; Araneae; Eresidae.
GCCUUCGUGGUGUAAUGAUCAGCACACUCGGCGCGUAUUCGAGAGGUCCGAGGUUCGACUCCCGGCAAGGACA